AAAAGUUCAUUUGGGCUUUUUCAUAAGAUGUUACAGAAAAACCCUGAUGAACUUUUUG
RNAcentral lists this microRNA precursor (58 nucleotides) under Bos taurus (domestic cattle). Its description in RNAcentral is "microRNA bta-mir-2285bd precursor". The record is from miRBase by way of RNAcentral. Lineage: Eukaryota; Metazoa; Chordata; Mammalia; Artiodactyla; Bovidae.